Molecule: non-coding RNA, 557 nt
Organism: Thamnophis sirtalis
Lineage: Eukaryota; Metazoa; Chordata; Lepidosauria; Squamata; Natricidae
Source: RefSeq, a predicted model, not a curated record
AAGUCACAAAACCACAGACCGGUUGCUGGGAGCGCAUAUUCUAGGCGCUGGUGCUGGUGAAAUGGUUAAUGAAGCCGCCCUAGCAAUGGAAUAUGGUGCAUCGUGCGAGGAUGUAGCCAGAGUUUGCCAUGCCCAUCCGACCGUAUCCGAAGCUUUCAGAGAAGCAAAUCUAGCGGCUUCCUUUGGCAAAGCAAUCAACUUUUAAAGCGAAGGAACAUCCGUGGUGGUGUGUGAAAAGCACAUUUCCCCCCCCCCCCCCGUGAAACUGACUGAAGAUUCGAUGGAAAAUCGAGUUUUUGCAAUACUCCCAGGCCUUAAUUAAGUGAACUUUUGUUCCACCCCCACCCCCCAAAAAAGCUAAAAUAUUUAAACAAAUAAGGGGUUGGGAUUUAAUUAACCAAGAGCUGUAUAUUAUAUGACCAACACUAACUUUGCAUUAUUGAUUGCCCGUUCUUAAGUUUCACAGGAGAAAAACGGCCAGCGGCAUUAGCGAAUGGUUGGAGCGAUCUUAAAAGGUCCCAUUAUGCAUUUUCGUUCAAAUAUAGCGUCUAAUAUUA